GAAAAGAAAAGGAAAAUCCAACUUUUUGAACUCCCCCUUUCACGAGCUCUUCAGAAAAAGCUAGGGUUUCUCCGCUCCAAAACCCAAGUUUUCAAGGUAGCUCUUUUCUAUCCACCAGCUCUCGUUCUCUCUCGUUAUUUGAUCCUCCUCUUCAUCUGAUCGAUUCAUUGAUCUUUUGGUGUUCUAGAGACCAGACGCAGCAG
RNAcentral lists this unclassified non-coding RNA (203 nucleotides) under Hevea brasiliensis (rubber tree). Lineage: Eukaryota; Viridiplantae; Streptophyta; Magnoliopsida; Malpighiales; Euphorbiaceae. The record is from RNAcentral.